CUAUAUAUGUGAGGGGUUGUGUGUGUGGGUGUUGUACAUGUUUGAGGGGUGCUCUGUGUGUAUGUGAGGGGUACUCUGUGUGUGUGAUGGCUGCUCUGUGUGUGAGGGGUGCUCUGAGCGUAUAUGAGGGGUGCAAUGUGUGUUUGUGUGUGUGUGUGUGUGUGUGAGGGGGGUGCUUAGCAAUAUAAUUUUUAUAAUAUGGUUAAUUUGCUAAACAGUUUAAUCAUUAAUUAUACCUUUACUUGGAAAGUG
Non-coding RNA from Pelobates cultripes (western spadefoot toad), 252 nucleotides. NCBI's taxonomy places the organism in Eukaryota, Metazoa, Chordata, Amphibia, Anura, Pelobatidae. The record is from the annotation of a GenBank genome assembly.